CAUUAAAUUCUCUCAGUUUUAUUUUUCUGGGGAAAUCUUUAUUUUAUCUUCAUUCUGAAUCACAGCUUUGCUGGCAAUACAAUUCUUGGUUGACAGUUUCUUUCUCUGAGACUUUGAAUGUCAUCCCACUACCUUUUGGCCUCCAUUGUUUCUGCUAAGUGAGCCACUAAUUCUACUAGGGUUCCCUUGUAAGUAAUGAGUUAUUUUUUUCUUGCUGCUUAAAGAUUUCCUCAUUGUCUUUGACUUUCGACAUUUGUCCUAUGCUGUGCCUCACAUUUCUAAGGUUCUCUUCAUUCUUUUUUCUCUGUUUUUCAGUGUGUCUAAUCUCUAUUAGUCUGUUAUUCUUUCCUCUGUCAGUUCAAACCUAUUGUUGAGCCCUUUGGUGAAUUUUUUGGUUAUUGUGCUUUUCAACUCCAUAAUUUCCAUUUGGCUCCUUUAAUAAUCUCAAUUUUUUUGUUGAUAUUGUCUUACUUGAUGUGACAUUGUCAUCCUACCUUCAAUUACUUCUUUAAUCAUGGCUCCUUUUAGUUCUCUGAACAGGUUCAUAAUGGCUACUUUAAAGUCUUUUCUGAUAAAUGCAACAUCUGGUUCCUCUUACUGUCAAUUUCUGUUGUCUGCUUUUUUUCUGCUGUUUGGGUUGUACUUUCCUGUUUCCUUGUGCUUUGUAAUUUUUGGUUUAAAACUAGAUAUUGAAAAUCAUAUAUUGUAGUAACUCUGGUUGCUGGUCCCCCCUUCUCUGGAGCUUAUUAUAAUGUGCUUAUUUAUGUAGUAAACGACUGGAUUAUUUUAGUGAAGUCCCUUUUCUCCAAACUGUGUUUAGCCACUAAUGUUGUUCCUUCAGGAGGUACAGCACUGGGUAUGCCCACAGUCACUCCGGAAUCAGUGGGUUUGGUGGGUCUCUCCUCCUCUUUUCACUGACCCCACCUACCUGCUAAAACCAUACUAUUAUCAGAUGAUUGCUCUAGUGUUUUCAACAGUACCCUGGGAGCACAAACUGCUCUAAAAUUUAUACAGUUGAAUUCUGGCUUCUUCAACUGAACAAUUUUUUAGACUUGAAAUUAUUCACUCUGCUGCAAUAAGCUAAAUUCCUUCUGAAAGAGAUGAAAAGCUAUCUGUUUUAUGGUGGGUUUCUCCCCGCAGGUACAAUCUCUGAGCCAGGGCACUGGAGCUGGGAAAGGGAACGAUGGUAAGCUUCUCUCUGAGUGACAUCCCCACUCUAGGGGCUAAGCCCUUGAUUGUGAGGGAGGUGUUAAAGAAAAAAUUAUUCUGACACUUGUUAAGAUGAGAAAGAAGACUUUCUUCAGAAUGAUCCCGAUAGGUGUCAAGAUAAUUGAGGCUGGGCGCAGUGGCUCACGCCUGUAAUCUCAGCAUUUUGGGAGGCUGAGGUGGGUGGAUCACUUGAGGUCAGGAGUUCUACACCAGCCUGGCCUGGCCAACGUAGUAAAACCCUGUCUCUACUAAAAAUACAAAAUUAGCCAGGGAUGGUGGCAGGCAUCUGUAAUCCCAGCUACUUGGGAGGCUGAGGCAGGAGAAUCACUUGAACCUAGGAGGCAGAGGUUGCAGUAAACCAAGAUCGCACCAUUGCACUCCAGCCUGGGUGACAGAGCAAGACUCCGUUCUCAAAAAAAAAAAAAAAAAAAAAAAAUUAUUGAGAUAGAAGAGAUCAGUCUCAAUUACAAACUCACGAGGAACAAGUAGGGAUUUAUAGGCAAGGAGUAAGUUGGAGAAGGGUUGUCAGUAGAUGGAAAAUUACUAAGAGGAGACAGAAAUGAAGGGUAAGGGAAAUUCUUGCUACAUUUACCAAACAGGAUUCUUGCUUAAGUCAGGUCAGGUUGAUCAGAUAUAAAGGGUCAAGGGGAUUCUUUUUAAACUGCCAGGAUUCUUGCUAAAACUGGGCUCUUGAGGACAAGGUCCAAGAAUGAGGCCUAGUCUAAAAAAGUUUCUAAGCCUGGCCAGGUGCAGUGGCUCACACCUGUAAUCCCAGCACUUCGGGAGGCCGAGGCGGGUGGAUCACAAGGUCAGGAAAUCGAGACCAUCCUGGCUAACACGGUGAAACCCUGUCUCUACUAAAAAUACAAAAAUUAGCCAGGUGUGGUGGCAGGCGCCUGUAGUCCCAGCUACUUUCCCAAGUAGCUGAGGCAGGAGAAUGGGGUGAACCUGGGAGAUGGAGGUGGCGGUGAGCCGAGAUCACGCCACUGUACUCCAGCCUGGGCGACAGAGUGAGACUCUGUCUCAAAAAAAAAAAAAAAAAAAGUUUCUAAGCCUGACUAAAGUUUGGGUAAGGAGAGAGCCUCUGUCAGUGCAGAGCAGCUGGGGUCCUCUCGGCUUGCCUCUCUUGCCAUGGAACCACCACCUCGCAAGCCAGGACCAAGGCCCCAUUAUCUUAGCAUGUCAUGCCUAAGGAAGCCUCCAGUCCAUGAGUGGGGUCUGGGUGGAAUAAGAGAGCCUCAGCAACAGGUGGCUACGAGCAGGAUGAGAAAAGCUGUGGUUCUGCUAUUCCCAGGACGAAAGCCCUCUGUGAGGGGAUGUUCUUGGCUGCAGCAGCCUGUCUGGGGGCCUGGAUAGAACAAAAGGGCAAGAAGAAAGGCAAAUUUCCUCUCUCCUAGAGCUAGAACACCAUUUUAUCUCCUGUCCUUUGGCAUCAGAACUCCAGAUUCUCUGGCCUUUGGACUCUGGGACUUGCACCGGCAGCCCCCUGGGUUCUCAGGUCUUUGGCCUUGGACUGAGAGUUAGACCAGUGGCUUCCCUGGGUUUUGGGGCCUUCAGACUUGAAUGAGCCACCCCCUACUGGCCUCCCUAGCCUGCAGACGGCCUGUUUUAAGACUUAUCAGCCUACAAUCACAUGAACCAAUUAUAUCUACCUACCUACCUACUUAUUUAUCUAUCCUACCUGUUCUGUCUCUCUGGAGAACCCUGACAAAUCCAAAGCCCUAGUCCACAGUACCUCAAAAUCUGACUGUAUUUGGGAAUAGAGCUUUUAAAGAGGUAAAGUACAAUGAGGCCAUAUGGGCAGGCCCUACUCCAAUAUAACUGGUAUCCUUUAAGAGGACAUUGGGACACAGACUCACACAAACCAAAAGAUAACCAACCACGUGAGAACAUAGGGAGAAGGUGGCCAUCUACAAAUCAAUGGGAGAGGCCUCAGAAGAAACCAAACCUGCUGACUGACACUUUGAUCUCAGACUUCUACCCUCCAGAAUUGUGAGAAAAUGAGUAUCUAUUAUUUAAGCCACCCAGGUUGUUGUAUGUAAUUUGUUACAGUAGCCCUAGUAAACUAAUACAAUGUACACGGAACUAUUUUGGCCUCCUUGGGACUGCCCAUAUAUGGGCAAUCUAUGCUUCUGGGGAACAUGAUGGAAGAAGUUAUGGUUAUCACACAAAUGUACAGGUCAGAGACAAUAAACUUUGGUGAGGGUAUGGAUCUAUGAAUCCAUACGCUCAAAUACAGUUGUGCUGUUGGAGUUUGUCACUGAAUUCCCGAAGCCCUAUAUAGACAGCAGAUGUUUUUGUAGGUUGAGGCAAGGCUCCAUUUUCCUUCUGUAUAUGUUCAGCUCUCUGGGUAUUUCAUUCAUCAGAUGGCAGCUUGGCUUAGAGAAGGUGUUGGUCUGUAUUAACGCAAUGGCUGCCACCAAGUCACUACAAGCACUAGGGUUCUAUCAAUGAUGAUCUAGCUCAGUGGCUUUGUCAUGGGGACUGCCAGGGGAAAGAAUCUGGGGCUGGUUCCGUCAGAAGCUCCUACCAGCUGAAAGGAAAUGGCAGAUAUUCAACAGAUAAUCUACUGUAUGCUGGUCUCUGCAUGGGUAUUUUAUUUCUUAUAAAGAAGAUCCUGCUUCUUACUAAAUAGGGGUUGUCACUAGAACCCUGUAAUCUCUUCAAUCUUUAUGCCCUUAUUUAAAAGAAUUUAGAAUAAAUUCAUUCUAACAGUGAGCUAACAUCAUAGACCAAGCACACAAACUAACAGUUAAUUCUGCAGCCCUGGGAACUUUUUUUUUUUUUUUUUAAAUGACAGAGUCCCGCUCUGUCACCCAGGCUGGAGUACAGUGGUGCGAUCUUGGCUCAAUGCAACCUCUGCCUCCCAGGUUCAAGCGAUUCUCCUGCCUCAGCCUUCCGAGUAGCUGGGACUACAGGCGUGAGCCACCACACCUGUCUAUUUUGUAUUUUUAGUAGAGACAGGGUUUCACCAUAUUAGCCAGGAUGGUUUUGAACUCCAGACCUCAGGUGAUCUGCCGGCCUUGGCCUCCCAAAGUGCUGGAAUUGCAGGCAUGAGCCACCGUGCCCAGCCAAGAACUAUUUUUUGAAUAAAAAAACUGGAAGUGUUCUGAAAAUACAAGGAUAGUCUGCCUGUUCUAGAAAAUCUGGGGCUGGUAGCUACUAUUCUUGGACCAUAUUGAGAGAUGGUUAAAAACAUUAGAUGCUCAAAAAAUCAGGUAAAUUAUUUAGAUUUAGUUUGCAAGCUAGUCCAUGUUGCAAGAAAGGACAUACCAGUGCUUUCCAUCUUUAUUAUAAUGUUCCUUGAUGGCAUGGCUAGACUUUUACAACUUUGGAUCCUCUGGCAAUGCAUAUAUCUGUCAAAUCAGCCCACACUAAAGCACAGCAAUAAGAGGCAUGGGGGUGAGGGAGCGAUCAGGACAAUCCUAAACCUUGGCAUUUUUUCCAGAUGAGAUCGGGUGCAGUCAGGGUAGUAUGGCAUGCAGACAUUUGUGUUUUUUUCAAAGUAAUUCCUACCUAAAUAAGUUUUUGUUCCUACCUAGUUAUAUUUCAUUCUCAAGUUCAUAUAUAUUGUUUCUGUCAUAAAGGAUAAAUGUGCAUUGAAAAUUCAUAGGAUAUAUAAGGCAAUCUAAGACAGCUAUGAUUAACAUAUCAAGUCACACAAAAUAAGAAGUAUAAAAGAAGCAUAAAAUAAAGUUAAAAAUGAAAUGAAACACUAAUAAAUGAAAAAACAAACAUUGCGGAGGAUCAAAACACAUGAAAAACAGGUUAUUUGAAAAUACUUCUGCAAGAUGGCUCAAGAAAAGGAGAAAAGGCACAACUGAAAAACAGUAAUAUGGAUAUACAGGCUGGGCGCGGUGGCUCACGUUUGUAAUCCCAGCACUUUACAAGGCUGCGGCAGGCGGAUCACUUGAGGCCAGGAGUUCGAGACCAGCCUAGCCAACAAGGUGAAACCCGUCUCUACUAAAAACAUAAAAACACAAAAAUUAGCCAGGCGUGGUGGUACACGCCUGUAAUCCCAACUACUUGGGAGACUGAGGCACAAGAAUUGCUUGAGCCUGGGAGACGGACAUUGCAGUGAGCUGAGAUUGUGCCACUGCACUCCAGCCUGGAUGAAAGAGCAAGACUCUGUCUCAAAUAAUAAGUAAAUAAAUAGUAAAUAUAAACAAAAAUAAAAAUGGGUAUAGGCCGAGUGCAGUGACUCACUUCUGCAUACUCAGCACUUUGGGAGGCCAGGAGUUUGAGACCAGCCUGGGAAACACAGCAAGACCUCAUCCCUCCAAAAACAAGAAGAUAUAAUUACUGAUAAGGCAGAGAUUUAAAAACAUUAUAAACUUUAACCAAUAUGUUUGAAAACUACUAUAUAAAUUA
RNAcentral lists this long non-coding RNA (5580 nucleotides) under Homo sapiens (human). Its description in RNAcentral is "HSALNT0154111". Lineage: Eukaryota; Metazoa; Chordata; Mammalia; Primates; Hominidae. The record is from RNAcentral.